Molecule: long non-coding RNA, 1266 nt
Organism: Pan troglodytes (chimpanzee)
Lineage: Eukaryota; Metazoa; Chordata; Mammalia; Primates; Hominidae
Exons: 4
Source: RefSeq, a predicted model, not a curated record
UCUCAAAUCCUAGUCAUAGCUAUUAAUGAUUAAGAGAGACAAUGUGAUAGAUCCUAUCUACAAAUAACUAUUUGGAAGGCAGAAGUUUGGAGAGACAUUAACUCUUUCAGAGUACUCUGGCUGAAAAAAAAUUGUAGAAGCUUCUCCAGAAUUAAAUGUUUAAAGAACAUUAUUUGAAGGAGACAGUAAAAGAAAAGGGAUGUAACAGGUGAAACAAGACUGACCAUGUUUUAAUAAGCUGGCUAAUAGAUUUGGGUGUACAUGUGCAGGUCUGUUACCUGGGAAUACUGCGUGAUACUGAACUUUGGGGUACAAGUGAUCCUGUCACCCAGGUACUGAGCACAGUACCCAACAGGUAGUUUUUCAACCCUCUCCCUCUAGUAGUCCCCAGUGUGUAUUGUUGCCACCUCUAUGUCCAUGAGUAGCCAGUGUUUAGCUCCCACUUAUAAGUGAGAAUACAUGUUAUUUGGUUUCCUGUUCCUCCCUCAAUUCACUUAGGAUAAUUGCCUCCAACUGCAUCUGUGUUGCUGCAAUUUAUUUAUUUAUUUAUUUAUUUAUUUAUUUAUUUAUUUGAGACAAGGUGUCACUCUGUUGCCCAGGCUGGAAUGCAGUGGCACAAUCUCAGCUCACUGUAAACUCCACUCCUGGGCUCAGGUGAUCCUCCCACUUCAGCCUCCCAAAUAGCUGGGGCCACAGGUGUGCACCACCACACCUAGCUAAUUUUUUUGUAUUUUUUGUAGAGACAGGGUUUUGCCACCUUGCCCAGGCUGGUCUCAAACUCCUGGACUCAAGCAAUCUGCCUGCCUCAGCCUGUCAAAGUGUGGGAAUUACAGGCAUGAGCCACCACACCAUCCUGAUUUCAUUGCUUUUUAUGGCUGCGUAGAAUUCCAUGGUGUAUAUGUACCACAUUUUCUUUAUUCAAUCCUCCACUGAUGGCCACCUAGGUUGAUUGCAUGACUUUGCUACUGUGAAUAGUGCUACAAUGAAUAUUCAAGUGCUUAUGUCUUUUUGGUAGAACAAUUUGUUUUCUUUUGGAUAUAUACCUAGUAAUGGGAUUGCUGGGUCAAAUCAUAGUUCAGUUUUAACUUCUUUGAAAAAACCCCAAACUGUUUUCAACAGCGGCUGAACUAAUUUACAUUCCCACCAACAGUGUAUAAGCAUUUCCUUUUCUAUAUAGCCUACCAACAUCUGCCGUUUUUUGACUUUUUAAUAAUAGUUGUUCUGGGGCUGGGAGUGGUGGCUCACACAUGUAAUUCCAGCACUUUG